This 305-nucleotide ribosomal RNA is filed under the name uncultured bacterium. RNAcentral's name for it is "bacterial SSU rRNA". It matches the Rfam family "Bacterial small subunit ribosomal RNA", at positions 333 to 654 of the family's 1533-position model. The record is from RNAcentral.
GUCUUCCUACGGGGGGCAGCAGUGGGGAAUAUUGCACAAUGGGGGAAACCCUGAUGCAGCAACGCCGCGUGGGUGAAGGAGCGUUUCGGCGCGUAAAGCCCUGUCAGCGGGGAAGAAGAAAGACGGUACCCGACCAAGAAGCCCCGGCUAACUACGUGCCAGCAGCCGCGGUAAUACGUAGGGCGCGAGCGUUAAUCGGAAUUACUGGGCGUAAAGCGCGCGUAGGCUGUUGUGUAAGUUGGGGGUGAAAUCCCACGGCUCAACCGUGGAACAGCCCUUGAUACUGCGCGACUUGAAUCCGGGAG